GACGAACGCUGGCGGCGUGCUUAACACAUGCAAGUCGAACGGAAAGGCCCUGCUUUUGUGGGGUGCUCGAGUGGCGAACGGGUGAGUAACACGUGAGUAACCUGCCCUUGACUUUGGGAUAACUUCAGGAAACUGGGGCUAAUACCGGAUAGGAGCUCCUGCUGCAUGGUGGGGGUUGGAAAGUUUCGGCGGUUGGGGAUGGACUCGCGGCUUAUCAGCUUGUUGGUGGGGUAGUGGCUUACCCAGGCUUUGACGGGUAGCCGGCCUGAGAGGGUGACCGGCCACAUUGGGACUGAGAUACGGCCCAGACUCCUACGGGAGGCAGCAGUUGGGAAUAGUGCACAAUGGGCGGAAGCCUGACGCAGCAACGCCGCGUGCGGGAUGACGGCCUUCGGGUUGUAAACCGCUUUCGCCUGUGACGAAGCGUGAGUGACGGUAAUGGGUAAAGAAGCACCGGCUAACUACGUG
RNAcentral lists this ribosomal RNA (468 nucleotides) under uncultured bacterium. RNAcentral's name for it is "partial 16S ribosomal RNA". It matches the Rfam family "Bacterial small subunit ribosomal RNA", at positions 28 to 507 of the family's 1533-position model. The record is from RNAcentral.